GCAUCUCUCUUCUCCCAUCCACUGGUUGGUGGUGGUACCAAAUCUUCAGCCUCAGGCUCCAAAGAUGCCUGAGUUUUCUCCUGCUGUGCCAGGAUGAGAUAUUCAGACACAGAGGUUGAAAUUGUUGGAACAUCUGACAUAGUUUCUGCUUGGCCGGUCUUAUCUGCCGAAGGUAGCAGGCUCAGAUCUUCGAACACAGGCCUACAAGGGGAAGACUCCUCCCGCUCCUGCGAUGGCUCAGAAUGCUCAGGCACAGGCGUGACCACUGAGGACCCCGCCUCUUCUUCAUCUGCCUCUGAGAAGUAGGGAUAGUCUGGAGCAGACCUCCUAGGGUUGCAGGAUCAGAAAGGCCUCUUGACUCUCAUCUUCCGAUAGAACUGCCUGGCUCAGUGCUGCUGGGGGAAGUAGCCCAAUAUCUUCUUUCUCAUCUUCUGCCUGAAUGAUGGGCUCAGAAACACGUUGGGACUUUAAUGGGAGCUUGUGGUCACCUGUUUUCAACAGCAACUCUUGCGCAUGUGCUGGAACAGAAUACUCAGCCGCAGAUUCAGAUUCUGACUAGAAUCUUCGGGUUCAGUGGUAUCCGUGAUUGGCGUAGAAGUUUCCACUCCCCUCUCUAGUUGUGCCUUUCUAAGAACCAUGGGUUCAGGCGCAUGCUCCUCCUCUCUGUGGACUAUGGACUCAGGCUCAGGCACAUGCUCCUCCUCUCUGUGAACUAUGGGCUCAGGUGCAUGCCCCUCAUCUCUGUGGACUAUGGGCUCAGGCACAUGCUCCUCCUCUCUGUGGACUAUGGGCUCCGGUGCAUGCCCCUCAUCUCUGUGGACUAUGGGCUCAGGCGCAUGCUCCUCCCCUCUGUGGACUAUGGACUCAAGCUCAGGCACAUGCUCCUCCUCUCUGUGGACUAUGGGCACAGGCCCAGGCGCAUGCUCCUCCUCUCUGUGGACUAUGGACUCAGGCUCAGGCGCAUGCUCCUCCUCUCUUUGAACUAUGGACUCAGGCGCAUGCUCCUCCUCUCUGUGGACUAUGGAUUCAGGCGCAUGCUCCUCCUCUCUGUGGACUAUGGGCUCAGGCGCAUGCUCCUCCUCUCUGUGGACUAUGGGCUCAGGCGCAUGCUCCUCCUCUCUGUGGACUAUGGGCUCAGGCGCAUGCUCCUCCUCUCUGUGGACUAUGGGCUCAGAUGAGGUCACGUAUUCAGACGCUUGUUCUGUUUUUUCUGUUGAAAUCGGCUCUAGCCCUUCCAUGUCUGGCUCAAACUUUUCUUGGAUGGCUGGCGCUGGUCUUGGUGGUCCUGUCUCUAAAGACUCCUUCUCUGCCUCCCAUGGCAUGGAAUGGUUGACAGAAACCAAGCCUUCCUGUUGCACAUCAUCGGCUGAGCCUGUCAAGACUGAAGCAUCAUCCUCUGAACUUUCCUUUCCUUGUGCAUUCUGUUCCAGUUCUUCCUUUGCUCUUUCAAGGACCAUGGUUGCUGGAAUGCUUGGUGGCUCCAUUCUGUGGGUCUUUGAUUCAUCAGCUGGCUGUUGUGGCAUCAUUUGUGGAAGGCUGAGAUUUUCUUCUUGAUCAGCUGUAUCAUUUCUGGCACUGGAGGGAAAUGCGUGUUCUGUUGAAGAUGGAACAUUUAAAUUGGAAUCGGCAUACGUUUUCUUUUGCUCUUCGUGACUAAACAAUGAGGUCCUGGACCCUUUGGAGAGGGCACCUCUCCAGGGUGGAGCAAGCUCUCUUACUUUGUCUUCUUCUGGGCUCUGGGCUAAUUUCCUUUGGGGAACUAUAUUAGAACCACCAUUGCUCAAAUCCGGCUCUAGACUAAUAGAUGAAUCUUUUCCUCUCCUGUAAUGUAUUUCCUUAAUUACAUAACCUUUUGGCAACGUCCCAUAAAAUUGUAGAGGAAUUAACUCUUCUUUAACUGAAUUGAACAUCUUUAUUUUGUAUUGUACCGUUCCUAUGUAGACUGGCUUCAACACUAAUGGUUUGUGCUCUUUGUAGAUAGCCCCAGUGAUGGGAGGCGUAUUUGAUGCAGUCUUCUUCCUUCUUGUUUUAUCAUAAGUGCCAAUAGAUGACUUUUCAUUCUCAAUAUUGAGCACAGGGCUUUCUGAAAUUGAAGGACCAUCUUCUUGGUUUGUCAGAACAUCUUGUGAUUCCAGAGAAUUCCUUUUUUUGCUGCCUUUCCGACGCAGUGACGGUGAGCCACGCUUGGACUUCUGAGUUCUUUUCCGUGUCCUUUUAACUUCAUCCAUAAUAAAGGAAACACUUCCUGGAGGAGAAGUCAGAGCUGACCCUUCCAAACUACAUAUUCCCGAGGUCUGACUUUCUCCUGAAGCCCAAGGAGUGGAAGAUCUGCUUGAGUUGGUCUCCCAGGUUAUCCCACUGUCUUCACGUUGAACUGCCACCAUGGAAAAGGAAGGGUCAGAGACGAUACACUCCUGCUUGGUCUUGCCCUCCUCAUCCUCAUCUGAUAACCUAUGGUGAACAAUACCAGUAAUUAUAUAUUAUAGUAAUAAAUAAAAUUAAUAUUAAUUAUUAGAACAAGUAAAUGUAAAAUAUAGAAGUCAGUACUCACAUCCACCUCAAAUGUGGGGUGAAUAUAAAAUAAAGUUUAAAAAGUUAAAAUCCAGAUAUCAGUGCAGUAAGAAAGCCCAGGCCAGAAUUGCUCAGUAGCCAGCCUUAAGCCAGAAGGAAAGCUGAAAUUCAUUUUCACUCCUUCCCUAUUCUGGGUUGCCCUCCUGGUCCUCCCGUGUUCCCCAGUCAGGAAGGCUCCCUUCUCUCACCAGGACCCACAUGUGACCCUGGCAUCUGUGCUCUUUGUUCCCACAGGGACCCCCAAACCUAGCUAGGUUUUGUGGACCACCCACUCCAUCUGCUUCCUAUCUGACCAGGAGCCUGACUCCUGCCUCUUAUUGGCCUGGUCUCGGCCCUUCCUAUUUUCCUUCCAUCUGGCUUUCCCAAGCAUCCCAUUAGCAUUCCUCAUGGAGACGAAUCUCAAUAAACUCUUCUUACUU
Molecule: long non-coding RNA, 2990 nt
Organism: Mus musculus (house mouse)
Lineage: Eukaryota; Metazoa; Chordata; Mammalia; Rodentia; Muridae
Product: RIKEN cDNA A630019I02 gene
Exons: 4
Source: RefSeq, marked validated